UAGGGAAUUUUCCGCAAUGAGCGAAAGCUUGACGGAGCGAUACCGCGUGAGGGAUGACUGCCUAUGGGUUGUAAACCUCUUUUUUCAGGGAGGAAUAAAUGACGUGUACCUGAAGAAUAAGCAUCGGCUAACUCCGUGCCAGCAGCCGCGGUAAGACGGAGGAUGCAAGUGUUAUCCGGAAUCACUGGGCGUAAAGCGUCUGUAGGUGGUUAAAUAAGUCAACUGUUAAAUCUUGAGGCUCAACUUCAAAAUCGCAGUCGAAACUAUUUGACUAGAGUAUAGUAGGGGUAAAGGGAAUUUCCAGUGGAGCGGUGAAAUGCGUAGAUAUUGGAAAGAACACCGAUGGCGAAGGCACUUUACUGGGCUAUUACUGACACUCAGAGACGAAAGCUAGGGUAGCAAAUGGGAUUAGAUACCCCCGUAGUCC
RNAcentral lists this ribosomal RNA (427 nucleotides) under uncultured prokaryote. RNAcentral describes it as "bacterial SSU rRNA". It matches the Rfam family "Bacterial small subunit ribosomal RNA", at positions 355 to 796 of the family's 1533-position model. The record is from RNAcentral.